CCUAAGGCCGGCCCUGAUGUAAAGAUUUAACAUAAUAGCUACAUGAUAACUAACCUAUAUCUCCCUUUCAUUCCUCAAACCGGAACAGGACACAGCUUAUGUGAUUCAUGAAGUUUCAGAAGCAUGAUAACAGGAUAAUAUAUAUAAUGCUAAUUCAGAAUCCGCUUUUGAACAGUAGGACGAAGAAAUCAUUCUGUAGAUCAGCUCUGCGGGUGGACUUCUAUAUGUCUUCUGCACAUCAUUCGUCUUCUACAUAAAUAAAAAAAAAUAAAAAAGGCCUACAUUAUUUUGGUCUACAGCUCUCUGAAUUAGUUGACCACAAAACAUACAAAUCAUUGACAGCAAUCUAGAAAGGCCUGUGUGUGAUUGACCAACUAUUUUAUUCACCUCUCAUCAUGAUGUGUUUCGCCAUUGUGUUUGUCCUACUGAUUGGCGCACCUGUAGGAAUGUCUGCAGGUCUGAUUGGGCUGUGUGCAGAGAUGUGCAACUCUGGAUGGCUGCUAAGGUCUCUGGGGGCCUCGUCCUGCCCUGAAGGCUAUGAAUGCAGGUCUAAUGGCUGUGGUCAUGCCUGUGUGAGAAUUGUGGGUAUAACGGCUCUCUCUGAACCUUGUCCGCCAUACUGUGAAUGCCCCGAGGGUAAAAGGUGCUAUGUAGGAAACAAUAUUUGUGGAUUUAAUUGCGGAGCCUACACACAUUCACGUGGACCUGUUGACCAGAAUCUCACUAUCUCGUGCACGCCAUGGGUGAGUAAGACUCUAAAUUUAGCCCUACCUUUACAAAUUAACAAACACGGGUUGUAACAAUUGUUCUGAAUAUGAUCACUUAAAGUGUGAGUAGAAAUGUAAUGAACAACUUCCACUAGUCGAAUCAGCCAGGAAAAACCAGUUGAAUAUGAUCUUUAACACGCACGACAAGUUAACUCACGGAUACGCUUAGAUUUUUUUUUACGAUGCGUCUGUAACGUCUCUGCUUCUAUUGCGUGCUCAUGGCGCUCCGGGUUGAACUUCUUUUGUAAGCACUUGUGGGAUUUAUAUUUGAGAACGAAUUUCCUGCUGCUAAUAGGUGCCCAGAAAUUAAAACUUAUCUCUAUUUAUACUAUAUACCUGGAAAUCAGCAACUGUUAUAGAAGAUAGAACGUGUAUAGAAAAUUAGGUCUUUUGAUAGAAAUCUAGGAAUAUGGAAAUAAUUAUUUUUAAAAUAAACAGCAAAAAAAAAUGAGUGAAUAUAUAUAUUUAUUAUAUAUAGUAAAUACUUUCACAUUAAACAUUUGAAUGUAAUAUUUGAAUGAUGCAAGUUGUAACUCAAAUUAUGUACAUGGUAGAAAUAAGUUAAUGCUUGAGAAAUCGCGUGUAAUUUAUUUGUUUACUAUGUAGUAUUUUUUAGAAAUAAUCAACAAACUAUUUACGUUCAAAUUUGGAUAAAUAUGACUCAUCCAGAAUCAAAACAAUGUGAGACGAAACAUGCUCACGUGUGGCUGAUCACACUCUUUAGUAAUUAGAGGAACACCUAAUCACGUGAUACACAUCUAGACUUCCAUAUAUAUUGGCCUAUAUAUGUGUAGAUAGAAAGAAUACACUUGAAUGUUUCUUGCUGCUAGUUGAAGACUGAAACUUUCAAAAUGAAACGUUUCUUCAAACUUCUUUUAUUUUCCUUUUUAUUCGCUGCGUCCACUGCCUCACCUGCCUCUCGGAUAGGCUUGUGCUGGGAAUUGUGUAGAACUGACCAGUCAACUGAAACAUCUA
RNA transcript from Biomphalaria glabrata, 1742 nucleotides. It is a transcript of the gene named WAP four-disulfide core domain protein 3-like, with no coding region annotated. NCBI's taxonomy places the organism in Eukaryota, Metazoa, Mollusca, Gastropoda, Planorbidae. The transcript has 5 exons. The record is from RefSeq and is a predicted model, not a curated record.